AGAGUUUGAUCCUGGCUCAGGACGAACGCUGGCGGCGUGCUUAACACAUGCAAGUCGAACGGUAAGGCCCUUCGGGGUAUACGAGUGGCGAACGGGUGAGUAACACGUGGGUAAUCUGCCCUGCACAUCGGGAUAAGCCUGGGAAACUGGGUCUAAUACCGAAUAGGACCACAGGACACAUGUCCUGUGGUGGAAAGCUUUUGCGGUGUGGGAUGGGCCCGCGGCCUAUCAGCUUGUUGGUGGGGUGAUGGCCUACCAAGGCGACGACGGGUAGCCGGCCUGAGAGGGUGUCCGGCCACACUGGGACUGAGAUACGGCCCAGACUCCUACGGGAGGCAGCAGUGGGGAAUAUUGCACAAUGGGCGAAAGCCUGAUGCAGCGACGCCGCGUGGGGGAUGACGGCCUUCGGGUUGUAAACCUCUUUCACCAUCGACGAAGGUCCGGGUUUUCUCGGGCUGACGGUAGGUGGAGAAGAAGCACCGGCCAACUACGUGCCAGCAGCCGCGGUAAUACGUAGGGUGCGAGCGUUGUCCGGAAUUACUGGGCGUAAAGAGCUCGUAGGUGGUUUGUCGCGUUGUUCGUGAAAUCUCACGGCUUAACUGUGAGCGUGCGGGCGAUACGGGCAGACUUGAGUACUGCAGGGGAGACUGGAAUUCCUGGUGUAGCGGUGGAAUGCGCAGAUAUCAGGAGGAACACCGGUGGCGAAGGCGGGUCUCUGGGCAGUAACUGACGCUGAGGAGCGAAAGCGUGGGGAGCGAACAGGAUUAGAUACCCUGGUAGUCC
This 783-nucleotide ribosomal RNA is filed under the name uncultured bacterium. Its description in RNAcentral is "bacterial SSU rRNA". It matches the Rfam family "Bacterial small subunit ribosomal RNA", at positions 8 to 796 of the family's 1533-position model. The record is from RNAcentral.